UUUUUGAUUUUAAUAUAAAGUCUAACCUGCCCACUGAGAAUUUUAAAUGGCCGCAGUAUUUUGACUGUGCAAAGGUAGCAUAAUCAUUAGUUUUUUAAUUAAGAACUGGAAUGAAAGGUUGGACGAGAAAAUAACUGUCUCUUUAUAAAUUAUUUAGAAUUUUAUUUUUAAGUUAAAAAGCUUAAAUUUUAUUAAAAGACGAGAAGACCCUAUAGAGUUUAAUAUAAAAAUUAAUAGAUAAUUAUAAUUGAAUUAUUUUAAUGUUAUUAAUUAUUAUAUUUAAUUGGGGUGAUUAAAAAAUUUAUUUAACUUUUUUUUUAUAAAAACAUUUAUUUAUGAGUGAUUGAUCCAUAUUUUAUGAUUAUAAGAUUAAAUUACCUUAGGGAUAACAGCGUUAUUUCUUUUAAGAGUUCUAAUCGAUAAAGAAGUUUGCGACCUCGAUGUUGGAUUAAAAUAAAUUUUUGGUGUAGAAGCUAAAAGAUUAGGUCUGUUCGACCUUUAAAAUUUUACAUGAUCUGAGUUUAAACCGGUGUGAGCCAGGUUGGUUUCUAUCUUUAAUGAAUAUUUAUAAUAUUUUAGUACGAAAGGACCAAAUAUUAGUAAAAAUUAUUAUUUUUUGAAUAUUAAU
Molecule: ribosomal RNA, 628 nt
Filed under: Lomechusini gen. 5 sp. HE-2012
Lineage: Eukaryota; Metazoa; Arthropoda; Insecta; Coleoptera; Staphylinidae
Description: partial 16S ribosomal RNA
Rfam family: Bacterial large subunit ribosomal RNA
Source: RNAcentral